RNAcentral lists this ribosomal RNA (371 nucleotides) under Pyganodon grandis (giant floater mussel). Its description in RNAcentral is "partial 16S ribosomal RNA". The stretch from base 79 to 371 matches the Rfam family "Bacterial large subunit ribosomal RNA", at positions 2048 to 2569 of the family's 2925-position model. Lineage: Eukaryota; Metazoa; Mollusca; Bivalvia; Unionida; Unionidae. The record is from RNAcentral.
UAAACAGCUCCCUAAUUGGGGGCCAGUGAAUGGCCACACAGAGAAAAACUUUGUUACCAAUGAUAAGAAAAAUUUUCAUUUAAGUGAAAAGACUUAAAUAAAGGAAAAAGACAAAAAGACCCCGCGGAACUUCCUUAUAGUUAUACUAUACAUAACAAAACCUGUAUUUAUAUCUAACUGGUUGGUUGGGGCAACCUUGGAACAAAUAAAACCUCCAUCUAUUAAGAAAACCCAUAAAAAACUUAYUAUGGACCAUAUUGCAGUUACCCCGGGGAUAACAGCGUAAUUCAACUUGAGAGUACGAAUCGAAAGUUGAGUUUGCGACCUCGAUGUUGGCUUAGGGAAAGCAUUCUGGCGCAGCAGCUAGAUCA